GCUGCCCCGACUGCUGCCCCGACUGCUGCCCCGACUACCGCAGCCCCGACUGCAGCCCCGACUGCUGCCCCAACUGCAGCCCCGACUGCUGCCCCGACUGCCGCUGUGACGGCCUCCGCUGGGCCCGUUGCCACCGCUGCACCACAACUCACUUCCCGGGAGGUGGUGUUCAGAUCGGCAGGAGAAACCUUCACGAAUGAUCUAUUGAGCCCAUCUUCUGCUGCGUUUAUGGCCCGAGCAACGCUCAUAACAACACAACUCGAACCCUUUUUCAGUCAGAGUUUUGGCUCCUUUAACACCAUAAACGUUGUAUCAUUCCGCAAUGGGUCGAUCAUCAACACCCUGAACGUUUUGUUCAAUUCAAACUCAGUUCCUGAUGGCCAACAGAUUUUAAAUGUGUUCACCACUGCAGCGCAAAGCAUCACAGCCUUCAAUAUUGAGACCAGCAGUAUAACUGUGGAGGGCCAACCAGUUUCAACCGGAGUCACCCACAAGAGCAGUGUCCUCACUGCAUUGGUGUUAAUGGCUCUAUCCUGGUCUCUGUCCAGACAGAGUUAGUGUCGGCCUGUCCGACUACCUAAAUCUUGGGAUGCACGAUAAAUAUAUGUCUGAUUAAUUAUCAGAAAGGAGGUGUCGAUAGGAUCUAUUGGGCUGUAUUAAAGAUGAUAUGUAUGUUCCAAAUGAUAUGUAUUAAAGGACUUAAUGUACAAUAAAUGUGACUUUCUCAGGUAAUGAAUUUAUAAUGGAUGGGCAUUUAAGGAAUACAUCAGAAAUAUUUCCAUUGAUUUAAGUUAUUAGUGUGAUGCAUGCAUGUAGGCCUAAUCAUUUGGCUUAUUCAACCGUAUUGUAUUCUGUGAGAUUAUAUUGCCUUUAAAUACCAUUAUCCUUAUAAAUGAAGCCAUCGUUAUAGGUUAUUUUUGAAUUUUUUGCACAAGUGGGAUUAAGCAAUAAAACGAAUAAUAAUAAACUUUCA
This is a long non-coding RNA of Gadus morhua (Atlantic cod), 973 nucleotides long. RefSeq lists it as uncharacterized. The transcript has 4 exons. The record is from RefSeq and is a predicted model, not a curated record. Lineage: Eukaryota; Metazoa; Chordata; Actinopteri; Gadiformes; Gadidae.